This 522-nucleotide ribosomal RNA is filed under the name Repipta sp. 00044289. RNAcentral's name for it is "partial 16S ribosomal RNA". It matches the Rfam family "Bacterial large subunit ribosomal RNA", at positions 1813 to 2606 of the family's 2925-position model. Lineage: Eukaryota; Metazoa; Arthropoda; Insecta; Hemiptera; Reduviidae. The record is from RNAcentral.
ACAUGUCCUUUUGUUAAUUAUAUAAGGUAUAACCUGCCCAAUGAUUAUUUGAAUGGCCGCGGUAUAUUAACUGUGCUAAGGUAGCAUAAUAAUUUGUCUUUUAAUUAAAGGCUAGAAUGAAUGGUUGGACGAAGUAUUAGCUUUCUUUGAUUUAAAUUAUGAAUUUAAUUUUUUAGUUAAAAAGCUAAAAUUUUUUUGAGGGACGAGAAGACCCUAUAGAUCUUUAUAAUUGUAUAUAUUAGUUAUUUUAGUAAUUAAAUUAUUUUGAUAAAUACACUUAUUUGGUUGGGGUGAUUGUGAAAUAGUUUAAACUUUUAUUUAUUUGUUUUCAUUAAUUAGUGUUUUAUUGAUCCAGAAUAUUUUUGAUUAAAAGAUUAAGUUACCUUAGGGAUAACAGCGUAAUUCUUUUGGAGAGUUCAAAUCGAUAAAGGAGUUUGCGACCUCGAUGUUGGAUUAAAAUAAGUUUAAGGUGUAGGAGCUUUAAAACUAGGUCUGUUCGACCUUUAAUUUUUUACAUGAUCU